This 61-nucleotide transfer RNA is filed under the name Horovitzia cnidoscoloides. RNAcentral's name for it is "partial tRNA-Leu". Lineage: Eukaryota; Viridiplantae; Streptophyta; Magnoliopsida; Brassicales; Caricaceae. The record is from RNAcentral.
GCUACGGACUUAAAAUCCGUCGACUUAAAAAAGUUGUGAGGGUUCAAGUCCUCUAUCCCCA